UACGUAGGUGACAAGCGUUGUCCGGAUUUACUGGGCGUAAAGAGCGCGCAGGCGGUCGAUCAAGUCGAGUGUGAAAGCCCCCGGCUCAACUGGGGAGGGUCAUUCGAUACUGAUCGACUCGAAGGCAGGAGAGGGUAGUGGAAUUCCCGGUGUAGUGGUGAAAUGCGUAGAUAUCGGGAGGAACACCAGUGGCGAAGGCGGGUCUCUGGGCAAUAACUGACGCUGAGGAGCGAAAGCGUGGGGAGCGAACAGG
RNAcentral lists this ribosomal RNA (253 nucleotides) under uncultured bacterium. RNAcentral's name for it is "partial 16S ribosomal RNA". It matches the Rfam family "Bacterial small subunit ribosomal RNA", at positions 524 to 776 of the family's 1533-position model. The record is from RNAcentral.